UACAGAGGUCUCAAGCGUUGUUCGGAUUCAUUGGGCGUAAAGGGCGCGUAGGCGGCGGGGCAAGUCGGGUGUGAAAUCUCAGAGCUCAACUCUGAAACUGCACUCGAUACUGCUUUGCUUGAGGACUGGAGAGGAGAUUGGAAUUCACGGUGUAGCAGUGAAAUGCGUAGAUAUCGUGAGGAAGACCAGUGGCGAAGGCGGAUCUCUGGACAGUUCCUGACGCUGAGGCGCGAAGGCCAGGGGAGCAAACGGG
RNAcentral lists this ribosomal RNA (253 nucleotides) under uncultured bacterium. RNAcentral describes it as "partial 16S ribosomal RNA". It matches the Rfam family "Bacterial small subunit ribosomal RNA", at positions 524 to 776 of the family's 1533-position model. The record is from RNAcentral.